Long non-coding RNA from Homo sapiens (human), 401 nucleotides. The record is from Ensembl. Lineage: Eukaryota; Metazoa; Chordata; Mammalia; Primates; Hominidae.
AAAUAUAAAAUACAAAGAAAUGUUAUUCUCUAUUUAUUUUUAUAUAGAUUAUAGUCUUUAUCUAACUGUUCUUAGUUCAUUUGAACUAAACCAAUGAAUUUGUCAACAGAACAAGCCUUACCAGUGGCUUCAGAGGAAGAGCAAGAAAGGCAUGAAAGAAGUGAAAAGAAGCAACCACAGGUCAAAGAAGGAAAUAAUACAAACAAAAGUGAAAAAAUACAACUUUCAGAAAAUAUAUGUGAUAGUACAUCUUCUGCUGCUGCUGGCAGAUUAACCCAACAAAGAAAGAUUGGGAAAACGUAUCCUCAGCAAUUUCCCAAGAAGCUGAAGGAAGAGCAUGAUAGAUGCACCUUAAAACAAGAAAAUGAAGAAAAAACAAAUGUUAAUAUGCUGUACAAAAA